This 253-nucleotide ribosomal RNA is filed under the name uncultured bacterium. RNAcentral describes it as "partial 16S ribosomal RNA". It matches the Rfam family "Bacterial small subunit ribosomal RNA", at positions 524 to 776 of the family's 1533-position model. The record is from RNAcentral.
UACGAAGGGUGCAAGCGUUAUUCGGAAUCACUGGGCGUAAAGGGUGCGUAGACGGUACAUUAAGUUCGUUGUUAAAGGCUCCGGCCUAACUGGAGUAUUGCGAUGAAAACUGGUGAGCUAGAGGGUGAGAGAGAGAAGUGGAAUUCCCGGAGUAGCGGUAAAAUGCGUGGAUCUCGGGAGGAACACCUGCGGCGAAGGCGGGUAGCUGGGCCGACACUGACGCUGAGGCGCGAAAGCCAGGGGAGCGAACGGG